Molecule: ribosomal RNA, 299 nt
Filed under: uncultured archaeon
Lineage: Archaea
Description: partial 16S ribosomal RNA
Rfam family: Archaeal small subunit ribosomal RNA
Source: RNAcentral
CCUUUAGGGGGCGCAGCAGGCGUGAAAACUCUACAAUGCAGGCAACUGCGAUAGGGGAACAUCGAGUGGUUUCCAUAUUGGAAAUCUGUCCCACCGUCUAAACGGUGGUUAGCAAGGGCCGGGCAAGACCGGUGCCAAAAGCCGCCGCGGUAAUACCGGCGGCUCGAGUGGUGGCCGAUAUUAUUGAGUCUAAAGGGUCCGUAGCCGGCUUUGCAAGUCUCUCGGGAGGCUUAACCGUUGGUCGUCCGGGGGGUACUACAUUGCUUGGGACUAAUCCAGCGGGAGAGGUAGGAGGUACU